CCCCUCACAGGGUCGCGCCUGGAGAAUUUCCAGAACUCUACCAGUCUCGACUAUGGGAGGGAGAGUCAAGCAGAGGCCUACCCAUUCCUUUCCUAGCUAGGGCAGUGGCUAGCAAGUGGAAGACCAUCUGCUACAAGU
Small nucleolar RNA from Ornithorhynchus anatinus (platypus), 138 nucleotides. The record is from RefSeq and is a predicted model, not a curated record. NCBI's taxonomy places the organism in Eukaryota, Metazoa, Chordata, Mammalia, Monotremata, Ornithorhynchidae.